AUUUAUUUAGUAUAAUUAAUAGUACUUAUGACUUCCAAUCAUAAAGUUUGUUCUUCAAAAUAAAUA
RNAcentral lists this transfer RNA (66 nucleotides) under Phyllomimus sp. ZJZ-2017. RNAcentral describes it as "tRNA-Gly". Lineage: Eukaryota; Metazoa; Arthropoda; Insecta; Orthoptera; Tettigoniidae. The record is from RNAcentral.